This 525-nucleotide ribosomal RNA is filed under the name uncultured bacterium. Its description in RNAcentral is "bacterial SSU rRNA". It matches the Rfam family "Bacterial small subunit ribosomal RNA", at positions 335 to 860 of the family's 1533-position model. The record is from RNAcentral.
ACUCCUACGGGAGGCAGCAGUAAGGAAUAUUGGUCAAUGGACGCAAGUCUGAACCAGCCAUGCCGCGUGGAGGAUGAAGGUCCUCUGGAUUGUAAACUUCUUUUAUCUGGGACGAAACACUUCUUUUCUAAGAGGCCUGACGGUACCAGAUGAAUAAGCACCGGCUAACUCCGUGCCAGCAGCCGCGGUAAUACGGAGGGUGCAAGCGUUAUCCGGAUUCACUGGGUUUAAAGGGUGCGUAGGUGGGUAUGUAAGUCAGUGGUGAAAUCCCCGAGCUUAACUUGGGAACUGCCAUUGAUACUAUAUAUCUUGAAUACCGUAGAGGUAAGCGGAAUAUGUCAUGUAGCGGUGAAAUGCUUAGAUAUGACAUGGAACACCAAUUGCGAAGGCAGCUUACUAUGCGGUGAUUGACACUGAGGCACGAAAGCGUGGGUAGCAAACAGGAUUAGAUACCCUGGUAGUCCACGCCCUAAACUAUGGAUACUCGACAUACGCGAUACACUGUGUGUGUCUGAGCGAAAGCAU